Molecule: long non-coding RNA, 1414 nt
Organism: Leucoraja erinaceus (little skate)
Lineage: Eukaryota; Metazoa; Chordata; Chondrichthyes; Rajiformes; Rajidae
Exons: 2
Source: RefSeq, a predicted model, not a curated record
GCGCCCCCUAGUGUACAGGUGUCUGCAUUCACACACAGUGCCCCCCUAGUGUACAGGUGGUGUCUGCAUUCACACACAGCGGCCCCUAGUGUACAGGUGGUGUCCACAUUCACACACAGCGCCCCCUAGUGUUCAGGUGGUGUCCACAUUCACACACAGCGCCCCCUAGUGUUCAGGUGGUGUCCACAUUCACACACAGCGCCCCCUAGUGUACAGGUGGUGUCUGCAUUCACACACAGCGCCCCCUAGUGUACAGGUGGUGUCUGCAUUCACACACAGCGCCCCCUAGUGUUCAGGUGGUGUCCACAUUCACACACAGCGCCCCCUAGUGUACAGGUGUCCACAUUCACACACACACAGCGCCCCCUGCUGUACAGGAGGUGUCUAUUCACGCAUGGCGCCCCCUACUGUACGGGCGGACUUCAUGCACCGUGUCCUCCACACACACCGCACCCCCUACUGUACAGGAGGUGUCCGCAUUCAUACACACGGCGCCCCCUACAGUACAGGAGGUGUCUGUAUUCACACACAUGGCGCCCCCUGCUGUACGGGCGGACUUCAUGCACCGUGACCUCCACACACACACGGCGCCCCCUCUAGUACAGGAGGGGCUCACCCACUGUGACCUUCUGCUCAGAGCGCCCCCUUCAGUAGUGGAGGUGUUCACGCAUCGUGGCUUCCGCACAGAGCGCCCCCUUCAGUGCGGGAGGGGGUUGGGCACUGUGACCUCCACACACACAAACACAGCGCCCCCUACAGUAGUGGAGGUGCUCACGCCCCGCACAGAGCGCCCCCUACAGUAGCGGAGGUGUUCACGCCCUGCACAGAGCGCCCCCUACAGUAGCGGAGGUGUUCACGCCCCGCACAGAGCGCCCCCUUCAGUAGCGGAGGUGUUCACGCAUCGUGGCCUCAACACAGAGCGCCCCCUUCAGUAGCGGUGGUGUUCAAGCCCCGCACAGAGCGCCCCCUUCAGUAGCGGAGGUGUUCACGCAUCGUGGCUCCCGCACAGAGCGCCCCCUUCAGUGCGGGAGGGGGUUGGGCACUGUGACCUCCACACACACAAACACAGCGCCCCCUACAGUAGUGGAGGUGUUCACGCCCAGCACAGAGCGCCCCCUACAGUAGUGGAGGUGUUCACGCCCAGCACAGAGCGCCCCCUACAGUAGCGGAGGUGUUCACGCCCCGCACAGAGCGCCCCCUUCAGUAGCGGAGGUGUUCACGCAUCAUGGCCUCAACACAGAGCGCCCCCUUCAGUACGGGAGGGGAUCGGGCACCAUAGCCGUACAUCAGACUCGUUCGUACCUGAUAGGGCGCCUGCUCCGGGUGCGGCCACUCUGUGGGCAUAGAGCCGCCCAACAAGGGGUCAACAGGCCGGACAUUGUAACGUUUACGUCCAAUACAGAUCCAGACGCUG